This 23-nucleotide non-coding RNA is filed under the name Arabidopsis thaliana (thale cress). The record is from RNAcentral. Lineage: Eukaryota; Viridiplantae; Streptophyta; Magnoliopsida; Brassicales; Brassicaceae.
GAAAAUUGAGGGCAAAAUGGUCU